GACGAACGCUGGCGGCGUGCUUAACACAUGCAAGUCGAACGGAAAGGCCCUGCUUUUGUGGGGUGCUCGAGUGGCGAACGGGUGAGUAACACGUGAGUAACCUGCCCUUGACUUUGGGAUAACUUCAGGAAACUGGGGCUAAUACCGGAUAGGAGCUCCUGCUGCAUGGUGGGGGUUGGAAAGUUUCGGCGGUUGGGGAUGGACUCGCGGCUUAUCAGCUUGUUGGUGGGGUAGUGGCUUACCAAGGCUUUGACGGGUUGCCGGCCUGAGAGGGUGACCGGCCACAUUGGGACUGAGAUACGGCCCAGACUCCUACGGGAGGCAGCAGUGGGGAAUAUUGCACAAUGGGCGGAAGCCUGAUGCAGCAACGCCGCGUGCGGGAUGACGGCCUUCGGGUUGUAAACCGCUUUCGCCUGUGACGAAGCGUGAGUGACGGUAAUGGGUAAAGAAACACCGGCUAACUACGU
Molecule: ribosomal RNA, 467 nt
Filed under: uncultured bacterium
Lineage: Bacteria
Description: partial 16S ribosomal RNA
Rfam family: Bacterial small subunit ribosomal RNA
Source: RNAcentral